Camelus ferus (Wild Bactrian camel) is the source of this 72-nucleotide transfer RNA. It matches the Rfam family "tRNA". Rfam says of the family: Transfer RNA (tRNA) molecules are approximately 80 nucleotides in length. Their secondary structure includes four short double-helical elements and three loops (D, anti-codon, and T loops). NCBI's taxonomy places the organism in Eukaryota, Metazoa, Chordata, Mammalia, Artiodactyla, Camelidae. The record is from Rfam.
GUGGGUAGAGCUCAGUGGUAGAACACAUGCUUAGCAGGCAUGAGGUCCUGGGUUCAAUCCCCAGCACCUCCA